Gallus gallus (chicken) is the source of this 4814-nucleotide long non-coding RNA. Lineage: Eukaryota; Metazoa; Chordata; Aves; Galliformes; Phasianidae. The record is from Ensembl.
CUUCCUUAUUUUGUAGAAAGUAAAGUCAAUUCACCAUAGGAGUUGCAUAAAAUUCUUUUAUUGAGUAAAUCAAGUGUGUACACUUCAAUGAAUAGACAAUUUCCAUUAACAUACUAAGUAUGUUUAUAAUAUCUAGGAUUCUGUCUUGCCAGAACUCUAAAAACUGGCUGCUGUAAGCAUAAAGCAUUAAUCUUCCAAGUUGAUCAGCAGUUAAGGGUCUCUGUAUCCCACAGCAGAGCACAUCUGGAUGAAGCCCUACCAGAACAAUGGUGGUACUGCACUGUAAUUACAUGAAAGGAUUAUCUACUUCUCAACAUACAACCCCACAGCAGAUGUGCAGUCAUUCACUUUGAAAAUGCUCCUGUAGGACUGCAAGUAUUCCAUGACAGAGCAUGACUUUUUGGGAGAACCUAUUCCUGCCUGCAGGAACCCACCAGCUUUCAGUCUGGCUUGAGAUCGAUGGUGAAGUGCACACAGGGCACCAGGAAAACCUCAUUCUGCAACAAAUACACCUUGGGAGAGAUCAUCACGUAUCCUGCUUUUUAGCUACAGAAGAAAAGCAGUUUUAUUGAUGGUACAUUACUCUGGUAGGUACUUACUAUCUUUUUUAUUAUUCUGUUUAAUAAUAGAAAGGUAUAGAAGUAAAAGAAUCAAAAAUCCUAGCCCAAGCUGUCUCUUGAAGGCGUUGUGUGACAUUCAUACAAAGCCUAGCCCAGCAGUGCUGUGCUUCACACCAGUUCUGCAGGUAAUGGUUAUUUCUAACAGCUUCUAAAAACAGUCUCACCUAAGUUGCAUUGUCCUUUCAAGGAAUGAGCUCUGCCAGGCUUCCCUGAUGUUACACAUUACGCAUUCCUGGCACACCUGGGCAGAGAAGCUUGAUGUACCGCAUGCCUGAUAAAUUAUACUCCUGGCACAGCCUCCCUCAUUUGGUAUCUUCUCAGCUGUGUGUGAAUCUGCUAUGGCAUACAUCCUUGCACCGAAGUCACCAUGCUGGUGAUAUCCUGCCUGAGUACAGCACAGCUGUUUGUGCCACCACCAGCACGCUCAGUGCUUUAGCAGUACAGACUUCAUGAUUUUUUGUGUUUUAAGAAAUAUGCAUUUGUUUUCCUUAUCAACUGCUGUGUUCAAAGUAGUUUUUUCCAGUCACCACAUUGCCUGUAUUUAAAAAUCUGCAAAGCAGUAGAAGUGAAGCAAAUGGCACUGUAAUUGUGCAGCUAUCGUGGAGCAUCGAAUGAAGCUGCCCGAGUUCACUGCCAAUAUUUCCUCCAUUGAUCUGGCCACUGCAGCCCGGGGCUGAGGGCCCAGCCUGUGCACAGUGCACAGCUGUAACCACACGGUGGAGCUCUAGCAUUCACAUUGCAAGCACUAACACCAACUUCUGAUGCUUCUGCCCCAGAAUUUCAGUAGCGUCACCUGCACUGGAGCUGUACUUGGACUCCCACUGCCACUUUUGGUGAGGGAAUUUCUGCCACCUCCUCCAGCCCCCUGUGAAGACCCCACACACCCACCUUCCACAGUGAGUACGUGCAGACCUGCAAACUUGCUUUUUUUUUUGACUGGGGGUGUUGGGGGAUUGCAGGCACAACACUGUGAUUGAUGCAAACUUAAUUAUCCUCCACGUUGCUUCCCCUCGGCUGCCCCUAUACUGCUGUCACACACUACGUCCAUAUCUCAUCACUCCUUCCAGAAGAGUCUAAGAUCACGUAAUUACUGAAACAAAAGCUUUAGUCAGUGUGAGUUAAGAACUCUUUCUAUUCUCAAUUCAGUUUUGGAUUGUACUUUCCUUUAAUACUGUGCUCAUCUUGAUGGAGCCUCAUUCCUACUGAGCAUCCAAGAGAAGUGACAAAGUAGAACCUAAAGAGGCGCUGCCUUUCUGAAGAGUGCUUCCCAUGAGUUUCCUGAGCUACUGUAUGUAUUUGAAACCUCUGAAACAGUUCUAAACUGUAUAGGGAAAAAAACUGCUGGCGUUUACACGUUCUCAUUUAGUAGCACACAGUACACCACCAGCAUUCUUAAUCAGUCUGUAACCUGUGAAACAGAAGGAAAAAUAGCUCAAGCCACCCUUACAGCGUGGAAGGGACAAAAUGUGACUUUGUGAAAGUAAUCAAAGUCCCAUUUUGUUUCAGUGUGACCCUAAAAGAUGGAUGUUUUAUCCUCCCACUUGAUUUUGUCAAUUUUGCAGCACAGAAUUAAUAACCCGAAGCUGAAAGGGUGUUUGUAGAAGCAACACUUCUUAUCCUAACUGUGCUUUACUGACAUCUGUUGUUACGUGGUGUGGAGAUAAACAGAUGCAUCAAUUUGAGGUAUAUAAUGCUGCAGUACAUCCUUCAACAAAAAGACCAUUUGGCAACCAUUUGUAAACAGCUUGUUACCAAAGACUAUUUCACUCUCAUGUUUAAAUUCAACUUUAAAAAUCUCAGUGGAUAAAAUUAAGUACAGCAGAAAAGAUGAAGCUUUAAGGUUAAAACAAACAAAAAUCGUGUGUGAUGGUUAGGACUAAACCAGAUGAGUUUCUUUUUUUCCUUUGUGCCAAACAAAUUCACCUACAGUGAAAAUAGGCCCCAUGCAAGAAAGCAAACAUGCUUUAAUUAGAACAUAAGAUGUGGUGAUGAAGGCCAGAAGCCUUUCUAAGAGUCAUCUGCUUAAGCCCAAAACCUUAAAACUUAGUAUUAUUAGUAUUUAUUUGGUAUGUAUGUAUCUAAUUUUUAGUAUUUAUUUGGACACUGUAGUCAAUUUAGCAGCAAUACAUUGGAGUAAGUGUAAAAGUGCGCGCCAUACAAAUCACAGAUAGGCUUUAACUCCAAAUAUGAGCAGCACCGAAAUGCAUGCAGCUGGCAGGGCUGAGUGUCCACUACAUUAAUACCUCUGAGUGUCAUCAGCGAUGCCUUUAUCUCGUGUCUCUGCCAGAAAUGCCAAGCUUUUUCCAAAAACCUACAUCCCACUUACAUGUAAUUGCUUUAAGAUAAAGCAGCCUGGUUUCGACUAAUUAUAACGUGAAAUAUUACUGGUUUGUUCCAUUUGCAGUUAUUAUGUUUGAUUUUCAUUUAUUUUUCUGACCACGUCGUUACAGAAGGAAUAUAAAUCUCCAGAAACACGGCUUGAAAGAAAUUAGGAGUCACUACUGCCCACUCAUGCAUGGAAUGAAGCACAUCUCCUGCAGAAAAGUAAAGUAUGUGAUCAUGAUUAAUAAUUUUGAACGUGAGCAAAGAAUGACAGGAAUGCAAAUUGGAGCAACUUCCUCUGCAUGUACUCAGUUUUCACGUUAAUAUUAAACUAUCUGCAUCUAAGUGAGCAUUCAUUCUUUAGUUCUCAAAGCAAACUACACAGAUGAAUGCUACGUAUUCUAUUCUAAAUUUAACCCCUUCUCUGCUAUUCAAAACUAAGCCCUAUUGAUGCAUUUCAGUUACUUAUCGUUUAGAAAUUGCCUCUUGUUAUGCCCAUAAACCCAACACUGCUCCAGUGAGAUUCCUGGUGUUGUUUUUUAAACUGUUUGGUGUUUGAUAGAAACCAAAAAAAAGGAGGAAAAAGAAGACGACCAUGCAGAGUGUCAAAAUCAGUGCAUAAUUAAGUGCUGAAGAGCAGAAGCCAGGGUUUCUUAUUUCCUACUGCAUGACUACAACAGAGCAAAACACCUGCACUAUUUCACUUAACAAAGCAGAAUGGAAAGAAAAGUCUCCUGAGGCUUCUAAGCUUUUACAAAUACUUUAUGGGUGCGUAUACCUGCACGCAAAGACUCACAGAUCUGUGUAAAUGAUGUUGGGAGUAUACUGAAAAUGCAACAGAAAACUGUGUAAUGUGCAGUCUGAACUCAUCUUCUGCAGAUGUGAAUGCAAGAUUCUGUGACAUGACAGAAAAAUCAGGUUUUCAUCUUUCAGAUUCAGCGUACACUAAGGAUGUAGCAUACAGUAGGGUACAGAUCUGGCAGGAGACUGAGCAACAUGAGAUCACGGGAGCCUUUUAACUGCAAAUGAAAUGAUGCUUCCACUGCCAACAGAGGAAAAUACAGAAGGCAUUUAUCCAAAGGAAAGUGAAAAUAAGGAUACUGCUUGGUAGUAGUAAUAGACAAAGUAAUGGGAUGAUGUGUCUGUUUCCUUCUGCCAAGUCUCUGAUCUUAUGUAAAGCAAAUUCCUAGUAUGACCAUAUGCAUCACUUUUGCAUUUUAAGAUAUUUGGUGAACAGAUUUAUAAAAAUAUCAACCCCAAUACCGCUAAUUAAUAAGGUCCUUUUCACGAAGACAGCUACUAUAGGGCCAAAAAAAAGUUAUUAAACCUCCUCUUGAAAGCUGAGUACUGGAGAAAGGCUGCAGGGGUUGGAGCGGCAGCUGCAAUGAGCCCAGGGAGCUGCGGCUGUCCCACAGCAGUGCCACAUGGGGCAUGGGGCCCUGGGAGCUGCUCACCUACUUGGAGAGUGGGAUGGACACCCUACUCGUUAAAUAUUGCUAAGAAACAUUAUGGGUUCUGACAGACCCAUUUUCCCAGGUUCAGAUAUGCACUGGCAUUGACCCCACGCUGUCAGGUACCAUUCAGCAGGACCACUGUGUGUGUUUGAAGUGAGGCAGUUUCUCCACUACUGCUUUUGUUAUGCAGACAGCUGCCCGUUAACAGUGCGAUUAAAGAGAGGCACAAAAGAUGUGCAGAAGGCAGAUCUAUCAACGGGGCUGAACGUAACCUCCCGCACCGGGCUGAGUCCCCACUCCCAACCCAGCAGUGAGGCCCACUGGCCGGGCAGGGUGCCGCGUCUCCCCCCGGCCCGCGGCGCGGUUAGGCUCUGUAAGCCCACUACCAGCGCGGGGUCGGCCGCCGUUCCGCCCUGAC